UACGUAGGGUGCAAGCGUUGUCCGGAAUUACUGGGCGUAAAGAGCGCGUAGGUGGUUUGCCGCGUCGUCUGUGAAAUUCCGGGGCUUAACUCCGGGCUUGCAGGGGAUACGGGCAAACUGGAGUGCUGUAGGGGAGACUGGAAUUCCUGGUGUAGCGGUGGAAUGCGCAGAUGUCAGGAGGAACACCGAUGGCGAAGGCAGCGCUCUGGGCCGUUACUGACACUGAGGAGCGAAAGCAUGGGUAGCGAACAGG
RNAcentral lists this ribosomal RNA (253 nucleotides) under uncultured bacterium. Its description in RNAcentral is "partial 16S ribosomal RNA". It matches the Rfam family "Bacterial small subunit ribosomal RNA", at positions 524 to 776 of the family's 1533-position model. The record is from RNAcentral.